RNAcentral lists this non-coding RNA (26 nucleotides) under Mus musculus (house mouse). The record is from RNAcentral. Lineage: Eukaryota; Metazoa; Chordata; Mammalia; Rodentia; Muridae.
UGACUGCCAGGGAACACGAUAAGGAG